UACGUAGGAGGCGAGCGUUGUCCGGAGUUACUGGGCGUAAAGGGUGCGCAGGCGGCGGUUCGCGUGGAUAGAUGAAAUCUCCUGGCUUACCUGGGAGGAUGGUAUCCAGACGGGAUCGCUUGAGGGUCGGAGAGGGGCGUUGGAAUUCCUGGUGUAGCGGUGAAAUGCGUAGAUAUCAGGAGGAACACCGGUGGUGUAAACGGCUUUCUGGACCAUAACUGACACUGAGGCACGAAAGCGUGGGUAGCAAACAGG
RNAcentral lists this ribosomal RNA (255 nucleotides) under uncultured bacterium. RNAcentral describes it as "partial 16S ribosomal RNA". It matches the Rfam family "Bacterial small subunit ribosomal RNA", at positions 524 to 776 of the family's 1533-position model. The record is from RNAcentral.